AACUUAUAAGUGUUUUGAAAACACUAAACAGACUAAGUCUAGUAGUUU
This 48-nucleotide transfer RNA is filed under the name Metacrangonyx sp. 3 ssp. 1 MDMBR-2012. RNAcentral describes it as "transfer RNA Serine". Lineage: Eukaryota; Metazoa; Arthropoda; Malacostraca; Amphipoda; Metacrangonyctidae. The record is from RNAcentral.